GAGUUUGAUCCUGGCUCAGAUUGAACGCUGGCGGCAGGCCUAACACAUGCAAGUCGAGCGGUAGAGAGAAGCUUGCUUCUCUUGAGAGCGGCGGACGGGUGAGUAAUGCCUAGGAAUCUGCCUGGUAGUGGGGGAUAACGCUCGGAAACGGACGCUAAUACCGCAUACGUCCUACGGGAGAAAGCAGGGGACCUUCGGGCCUUGCGCUAUCAGAUGAGCCUAGGUCGGAUUAGCUAGUUGGUGAGGUAAUGGCUCACCAAGGCGACGAUCCGUAACUGGUCUGAGAGGAUGAUCAGUCACACUGGAACUGAGACACGGUCCAGACUCCUACGGGAGGCAGCAGUGGGGAAUAUUGGACAAUGGGCGAAAGCCUGAUCCAGCCAUGCCGCGUGUGUGAAGAAGGUCUUCGGAUUGUAAAGCACUUUAAGUUGGAGGAAGGGCAGUAAAUUAAUACUUUGCUGUUUUGACGUUACCGACAGAAUGAGCACCGGCUAACUCUGUGCCAG
RNAcentral lists this ribosomal RNA (506 nucleotides) under uncultured bacterium. Its description in RNAcentral is "bacterial SSU rRNA". It matches the Rfam family "Bacterial small subunit ribosomal RNA", at positions 9 to 511 of the family's 1533-position model. The record is from RNAcentral.